This is a long non-coding RNA of Chenopodium quinoa (quinoa), 1614 nucleotides long. RefSeq lists it as uncharacterized. The transcript has 4 exons. Lineage: Eukaryota; Viridiplantae; Streptophyta; Magnoliopsida; Caryophyllales; Amaranthaceae. The record is from RefSeq and is a predicted model, not a curated record.
UAUGAGGGAAGAAAAUUAGGAACUGAACUGAACUGAUUGGAGCUGAACUGAACUAAACUAAAUAUAAGCUAAAGGGAGAAGGCCCUUAAUAGUAAUUUUUGUGUAUUAUUAUGCAUGCAGUGAUACUUUUUGUCAUCCUUUGUUGUUGAUUUUAAUAUAUUAUCUUGAUUUGUAACAAAUUGUAAUAAGUUGAUACUUUCUUCAUAUUUUUUAAUUACUUUCUAAAUUUUCCUUUUAACAUCGUACCUUAUUACUUGCUCAUUUACAUUUUUAGAAACUUUUAACAAUAUUUUACAACUUUCUUCCUCACUAGUAGUCUCCACAUAUCAUAUGUUAAUAUAUAUAUUUUUAUAUUCUGUCCCCUCCACAUGUAUAUCAGUUUGGUUUUUGAGGUUUUUUUUUUAUUUUUUUUAUUUUUUUAUUUUUUUUAUAGGUUUUAACCAACCCCACUUCCAUUAUAAAAUAAUACGAAAAACUUUAAAAUAUCAUACACUAUGGUGAAUCCGUUAUCUACACCCAAAGCCACCACAACUUCAAUUUUUUAUACGGUACAUAAGAUAUUUUACAUAACAUCAUAUGUAUUCAUAAAAAGCUUUAGUCAAAUUGAUAUACUAGUAUAAAUAGUAUAAUAGAAGUCAAACAAUUUUGUUAUUUUUAGCAUGAAUGUAUGUUGUAUAUUAUACUCAAUUACUUAGUAGAUCUCAAUUAUUUCCCAUCCCUAAAAAAAAACGGAGGCAAGCAAACAAAGAAAAAUAAACCCCAACCCCUUAUCUUUUCUUCUGCCAUUAUUUCCCCAAAAAUAAGCCUUCGUAGCUUCCGCCAAAAGAACCAAACAACCCACCAAAUCUUCUUAUCUUUUCUUCAGAUCAAUUUCAAAAACUCAUGUAUUAAAAUGGAAAAAAAUAAAAUUCUUGAUUAUCUUGGCGGAAUUAGGACUCAAAAUAGUGAAAUUUUCGAGACUGAACUAGCCCAAAAAUUGAGAGGGAAUUUUUAUUUUUUCAUCUGUUAUUCCCUCCCUUUGUCUAUCUUUCUUUAUAAAAAAUUUCUCCUUUAAUUUUACCCUAUGCAAUCGCAAAAGAUAAAUCUUAUAAAAUCAUACUGCUUGAACUCGGAGAGGAACCAAACCAAGAAAAUUAUCGAUUGGAAGCAACCAAAUUUGAUUUAUUUGUUGGAGUACUUAUCACCGUCCAAGCUCCAAAAUGUCAAAAUCAGGAGGAAAGAUUCUUUCAAUAGAAAAUGAGUAUGAACUACGAAGACUCAAGAUAAUUGAAGCUAACAAGACGAGGAUGAAAACGUUGGCAUAAAGCGCAUUGCUGCUUCUUUAACAAGCUUAGUAGAUAGCUCAAAAGUUUAGAAAAAUAAACAAAAGUAUAAUGCAUCUCUUGAGAAAGAUGGUGAUUAUCUACCCGAUGAGAAUGAGGAAGUUGAGUAUGAGAAAGAAACUCACAAUGUAUCAUCAAACAAAAAGGUUGAUGAUAACGUCAAUGAGGAUGAAGAUGAGGAUGAGGAUGAGGAUGAAAAGGGUGAUGAAAUGCAAGUAGAUAAAGAGUAACAGUACUACUUUUUUAAUUCAUUGAAAUUAUAUAAUGAAGAUGGCUAGAGAUCGAAUUAGAA